This 200-nucleotide ribosomal RNA is filed under the name uncultured bacterium. Its description in RNAcentral is "partial 16S ribosomal RNA". It matches the Rfam family "Bacterial small subunit ribosomal RNA", at positions 8 to 227 of the family's 1533-position model. The record is from RNAcentral.
AGAGUUUGAUCCUGGCUCAGGAUAAACGCUGGCGGCGUGCCUAACACAUGCAAGUCGAACGCUCUGCGCAAGCAGGGAGUGGCGGACGGGUGAGGAACACGUGGGUUAUCUGCCCAGAGGUGAGGAAUACCGGCGAGAAAUCGCCGACAAUACCGCAUACGUUUCUUCGGAAACAAAGCUCGCAAGAGCGCCUUUGGAUG